RNAcentral lists this long non-coding RNA (932 nucleotides) under Arabidopsis thaliana (thale cress). Its description in RNAcentral is "long non-coding RNA (ATHA_LNC000125)". Lineage: Eukaryota; Viridiplantae; Streptophyta; Magnoliopsida; Brassicales; Brassicaceae. The record is from RNAcentral.
UGCAAGUGUUUGUUGAAGAUAAUGAGUCAGAGGAGAGGCUUGUGAAUCGAUUUAGGAGAGAAGUGAUGAGAACUGGUGUUAUACAGGAAUGUAAGAGGAGAAGAUACUUUGAGAAUAAACAAGAUGAGAAGAAACGUAGGACUCGUGAUGCUGCUAAGCGUAAUAAGAAAAGGUAAUAUAUCUGUGUUGAAACCGAGAUUGGGUAUUGAUGAUUGAACUGUGAAGAUUUUAUGCUUAGUUCGUGAAAAUUAUCACUGCCUCUUAGGUUUAGAGGGUUGAAUGGUCUCAAAUUUUGAGUGUGGUUCAUGUUACUUCAAUUUGGUGAUUGUUUUGUUCUGGUUGAUACAUAUAUUGAAACAGAGAUUGGGUAUUGAUGAUUAAACUGUGAAGAUUUGAUGCUUAGUUCUUGAAAAAUAUCACUGUCUCUUAGGUUUAGAGAGUAAAGAUUUUGAGUGUGGUUCAUGUUUCUUCAAUUUGGUGAUUGUUUUGUUAUAUCUGCUUGUGCAGUGAUUGAUUCAUUUGUUGAAACAAAGAUUGGUUAUUGAUGAUGGAGUUCAAUGAUAGCUUGUGAUGGUCUUGAUACGUAGUUAUUGAACACCUAUUCUGUCUCUUAGCUUUAGAGGAUUGAAAUAGAGACGUUUUAGUCACAAAUUUGUAUGAUAUGUUUGUUCUGUGAGAAUUCUUAUGCUAUAUCUGUUUUCCAGUGAUUGAUUCAUAUGUUGAAACAGAUUAGGUAUUGAUGAUUAACUUCCAAUGAUAGUCCUUUUGGUAACUUGGUUAUUGAAAACCUUCACUGUCUUUAUUGGAUUCAUCUGUGAAGAUUUUGAUACUUGGUUAUUGAAAACCUUCACUGUCUUUAUUGGAUUUAGAGGAUGGAAAUAGUGAAUAGAUGAGUCUCAGAUUUGUAUGUGGUUUCAUGUUUCUUGGUUGGG